UACGUAGGGUGCGAGCGUUAAUCGGAAUUACUGGGCGUAAAGUGUGCGCAGGCGGCGCCGCAAGUCGAGUGUGAAAGCCCCGGGCUUAACUUGGGAAUUGCGCUCGAAACUAUGGUGCUGGAGUGUGGCAGAGGAAGGUGGAAUUCCACGUGUAGCGGUGAAAUGCGUAGAGAUGUGGAGGAACACCGAUGGCGAAGGCAGCCUUCAGGGCCAACACUGACGCUCAUGCACGAAAGCGUGGGGAGCAAACAGG
Molecule: ribosomal RNA, 253 nt
Filed under: uncultured bacterium
Lineage: Bacteria
Description: partial 16S ribosomal RNA
Rfam family: Bacterial small subunit ribosomal RNA
Source: RNAcentral